GCCUUCAUGGUGUAGUGGUCAGCACGUUCGACAUGUAAAACCGAGAGGUUCGUGGUUCGAUUCCCGGCGAAGGCG
Molecule: transfer RNA, 75 nt
Filed under: Stegodyphus mimosarum
Lineage: Eukaryota; Metazoa; Arthropoda; Arachnida; Araneae; Eresidae
Rfam family: tRNA
About the family: Transfer RNA (tRNA) molecules are approximately 80 nucleotides in length.
Source: Rfam by way of RNAcentral